RNAcentral lists this long non-coding RNA (429 nucleotides) under Pongo abelii (Sumatran orangutan). RNAcentral's name for it is "lincRNA". Lineage: Eukaryota; Metazoa; Chordata; Mammalia; Primates; Hominidae. The record is from RNAcentral.
GAGAUGGGAAGCUGUGGGCUGCGCAGUGGGUCCUAUGGUCUUGGAAAGGGGACGCCCCACCUUGUGCUCAUCUUUGUAGAAUCUGGGCAGGUUUGGGGGUCCUCAUGAAAGAUUUUGAAAUUUUUGAAGUCUAUUCUCUGCCUGUUUUUCUAAAAAAUUCUUCAGUAGGUGAAUAAUUUACUUAACAUUGUGUACUUGGGAGAAUAUGAUGAUGGGGACAGAGCAUGCUGUAUUGCAUGGCUUCUUAGGAAGAAAACACUAUGGGCUGCCCUGUAGAAAUGCAGGCAGAAGCUGUUGUCAGUGAAUGUUGGGAGGAUCCGUAAUGUUGAAUUGGAAUAGAACUAGAGUGAGACUGUUUCAUGAGGGCUUCUCCCAUCUAGAAUCUUUCUCAGGAGUAUUCUGGGUGCUUUGACCUGGAUCAGUUACUGC